GAUGAACGCUGGCGGCGUGCCUAAUACAUGCAAGUCGAGCGAACAGACGAGGAGCUUGCUCCUCUGACGUUAGCGGCGGACGGGUGAGUCACACGUGGAUAACCUACCUAUAAGACUGGGAUAACUUCGGGAAACCGGAGCUAAUACCGGAUAAUAUAUUGAACUGCAUGGUUCAAUAGUGAAAUACGGUUUUGCUGUCACUUAUAGAUGGCUCCGCGCCGCAUUAGCUAGUUGGUAAGGUAACGGCUUACCAAGGCAACGAUGCGUAGCCGACCUGAGAGGGUGAUCGGCCACACUGGAACAGAGACACGGUCCAGACUCCUACGGGAGGCAGCAGUAGGGAAUCUUCCGCGAAGGGCGAAAGCCUGACGGAGCAACGCCGCGUGAGUGAUGAAGGUCUUCGGAUCGUAAAACUAUGUUAUUAGGGAAGAACAAAUGUGUAAGUAACUAUGCACGUCUUGACGGUACCUAAUCAGAAAGCCACGGCUAACUACGUG
Molecule: ribosomal RNA, 497 nt
Filed under: uncultured bacterium
Lineage: Bacteria
Description: partial 16S ribosomal RNA
Rfam family: Bacterial small subunit ribosomal RNA
Source: RNAcentral